This 742-nucleotide long non-coding RNA is filed under the name Brassica napus (rape). Its description in RNAcentral is "long non-coding RNA (BNAP_LNC007704)". The record is from RNAcentral. Lineage: Eukaryota; Viridiplantae; Streptophyta; Magnoliopsida; Brassicales; Brassicaceae.
CAAUUUUUCUAAUCUGAUAAAUUGAAGCAAACCUAUAUGUGUGAUUAUUUCAGUCAGUCGCUUAAUUAUGUUUGUAACUCUGGGCCACUUUGGUUUCUAAUGGGUCAAUUAAAAAAAUAAUUUGUUCGUAUGCUAUGUUACACCAUAUGGUAGACGGCAGUUCGCGUAAGCCAGCCGAUAUUUCUCUUCAUUAACAAAUCAAAUUGUAGGUUCUUGGAAACAUAUGAGAAAGACUGCAUGAGCCUUCCUACUACCCUUUCACUAUUCUUUGGCUGGCAACCUCCUCUCAUAGCUGCUUCCCAGUACACUCCAGAUAACGACCGACUUGUCUACUUGUGAUUUUUAAAAGAAAAUCAAUUUUUUAUCCAUUUGGUUACAACUAUUCAAUGUGGCUCGGUUUUGACAUUGGCCCCACUCAUCGUGUCUCUUUUUUUAAUCAGCAACUUUCCAGCAACGACGUGACCAGUCUCUUGAAUCAUUUUCGUGUUUCCUCCAAGUUCCCACUUAUGCACUCACACCCAUUUAUUACUCUUACCAUUGAUCACAAUCAUUCAACAAACUAAAAAAGUGCGUCAACAUUUUCAUAAACCUCAUAAUCAUAUUGGUGGUAGAACUGGUUAAUUAUAUGGUUUGGGUCCUACUCUCUCCUUGACCCAUGCGCAAUCUUCCAACCUCAUCCAUGCUGUAACGCAAACUCAAUAGGUCCUCUUCUUUUUCUUUUGAUUUUGAGUUCUUGUUCUUU